Molecule: long non-coding RNA, 977 nt
Organism: Leopardus geoffroyi (Geoffroy's cat)
Lineage: Eukaryota; Metazoa; Chordata; Mammalia; Carnivora; Felidae
Exons: 3
Source: RefSeq, a predicted model, not a curated record
GAGUGGUGUGUGUGAAGGCUUGGGUGUGUGUGGAGGGGAGUGUUGCGUGAGGGUGUGAGCAUCGAGGGAGGGAGGAGUGUUCUGUGGGAAAGGUGAGUGUGAGAGGUGUUCUGUGGACAAGUGAGUGCAGGUGAAGGUGUCACAUGACGGAUUGUGACCUUAGCCACCCCGAGCUCCGGGAGGGCGGCAGAGGGGUGUCUGGGCAGGUCCUGGAUCUCCCAGACAGGGCUGGGCGGGGCGGGGGUCAGGUCCCACCCUUCCUAUCGUCCAGACCCAGGAAUCCAGUGUUUCCACAUCAUGCAUCACUCUCCUGAAAGGGGCCCCUGAAAGGGAACCAACUGGAAGGAAGCCUAAGUCCUGAGCCCCAGAGAGGGAGAGGCUCCUGUGGAUGCCUCCCACGCCCUAGCGUCUAGCUUCCCCACCCCUGCUUCCCCCCCUCUUCCUGCCCCAGUCUCUUUUGUGUCCCUGACUUUCCCCGCGCGCUUCCCACUUCUCUCCCAUCAUUGUUGCUGACUCACCCCUCCAGAUUCGGGUCCCUUCUCCCUCCUGGGGAGUGGUCUCCCUGAGCCCACUUCUGUGGGACCUUGGAGACCCGGUGCAAGUUUAUCACCCUUAGAACCCGGGAAGAGUGAGAAACGACGGAAGUGCCUCCAGGGAGCUCCGGCCAUCAGAGUAACCCUCCCAUUCAUCUCCUGUCUCAGAGCCCCCUGGGAGAGGCAGAUGCUGCUCCUUAGAACAACAAAGUAGUCUUGACCUUUUGGAGCUCGGGAGAAGAGACUGGAAGAACUUGGACAUGAGGUCUGGAGCUCUGGCAGCCAUCUCGGACUAUGAGGCAAUCUUGAGAAUGGAAGCAGAGAAGAGAAGGCAUCUGGGCUCCUGGUGACUGUAGAACUGUCCUAGUGGCCCAGGACUUCGGAUCACUAGACUUUUGUGUGACAGAAUUAACUUUCUGCCUUGCUUAAAUGCUUGUUAUUUUG